Molecule: ribosomal RNA, 253 nt
Filed under: uncultured bacterium
Lineage: Bacteria
Description: partial 16S ribosomal RNA
Rfam family: Bacterial small subunit ribosomal RNA
Source: RNAcentral
UACGGGGGGGGCAAGCGUUGUUCGGAAUUACUGGGCGUAAAGGGCUCGUAGGUGGCCAACUAAGUCAGACGUGAAAUCCCUCAGCUUAACUGGGGAACUGCGUCUGAUACUGGAUGGCUUGAGUUUGGGAGAGGGAUGCGGAAUUCCAGGUGUAGCGGUGAAAUGCGUAGAUAUCAGGAAGAACACCAAUGGCGAAGGCAGCUCUCUGGGACGGUACUGACGCUGAGACGCGAAAGCGUGGGGAGCGAACAGG